This 359-nucleotide non-coding RNA is filed under the name Campylobacter mucosalis CCUG 21559. The record is from RNAcentral. Lineage: Bacteria; Pseudomonadati; Campylobacterota; Epsilonproteobacteria; Campylobacterales; Campylobacteraceae.
UGGUGGAAGCGAGGGGGAUCGAACCCCUGUCCAAAAAACAAAACAACCGCAGCCUCUACAUACUUAGCAGAAGUGAAAAUUUCAUCUAAAAGGCUCACUUCCCAAAACCAAAAUUUAGACUAAGACUAAGCUUCGCUUUAAGGCUCGUCACACCCCAAAACUACACUACCUGGAUUACUCGCAGACCUUUUUAGAUAGUAUCAAAAGGCGCAAGGCUCAACUGAACUUACGCAGCUUUAGCGUAAGCAGGAGCGAAUUUAACGUUAUUUGCGUUUAAUUUUAAUUUAGGCUUUUUACGCUUUGCCAAAAGCGGUAUGCCACCACGACCACUCUGCUCCUGUCGAAGCCAAGUCGCUCCC